CCAACUUUCCAAACUUCCCAGCGCAACUUUUUCCUCUCCUCCCCUGCUUGCGCCUCCCCCCUCCUCCCUCUCCUUUCCUCUCGCCAGCUCCGCGCUGGCCCAUAGCUCCGGAGCGCCACCGCCAGAGGGCGUCCGGCCUGAUGCUCUGCUCAGUGGACUUCAGGCCAAGAGGUGGAAGCUCAAUGGUCAGGCAAUGACAAAUUUGGGGACUUGGGCCAUCUUCGCUGAGCACAUACGCGAGUCUUGGCAAGAAUAAGCAGCCAGCAGGACAGGAUUUUGGUAGACACUUCGAGCAACAAGUUCAGGACUGGUCAAAAGGACAAAGUUUCAGUUACAAGGAUCGUUGUUAAUAUGAAGAAGAAGAAGAAGAAGAAGAAGAAGAAGAAGAAGAAGAAGAAGAAGAAGAAGAAGAAGAAGAAGAAGAAGAAGAAGAAGAAGAAAGAGGAAUAGGUAGCCUCAAAGUGUCUUCUGUCUGAAGAGAAAUACUUUGAUGUUUAAAAAGUCAGGAGGAGCACAUGUGGACACCUUAUGGUUGGGAGCCUCUGUGGAGGGUCUGUAUCAGAGUAGAACUCAGCUCUGCUGAUUGAGUUGGAUAAGAUGCUCUUUGCCCAGGGAUGUUCUGCUGAUUAGCUGAGCAGGUGGCAAAGUCCCACAAGUAUUGUCCUUACCAUGCUGUACACGUGGUAAGCUGGGCAUCUGUGACUCUCAUGGUACCCACUGGCAUGCUGCCUAGCUGUUUACAUUUACUUGGCCUUUAUUUUACCAAAUCCCGUGCUGGAGAGUCUGAAGAGUCUGUAUCUGGCCUUUGUCCUUUUUCAUGGCACCUUUUAGUCUAUAUACACCAUGGCUUCUCUGCUGUGGAAUGCCCUGUUUCCCCAUCAGGCUCAUUGUGUCCAAUCAAGUACACACCUUUUAUUUUUCUCAUUUCAGACUUUGGGCUGGAUCCUCAACUCCCUAUGUUUGGAAGCACCUUCUCAUAAAUCUUCUCAUGUAGUUGUCUGGACACUGCGUUGGGGAGCCUAUUUCCUCUCAAGGUGGCCUAUACUCUUGUAGAUGCUCUUAACACUGUUGAGUUAUGUAUUUCCCAGCACUGACCUGUAGCUUAUCCCCCACAAGGCCCUGCUUUUACCACCCUGGCAGCUACAUGGAACCUCUACGGUGACAGAAGUCUGCUGACAUCUUAACUUUUAUCAGAAAGGUUUUUUGUGUGUGAGAGUGAAUGUGGAGUGUGUGUGAAUGUAUGUGUGAGUGUGUGAGUGUGUGUUUGUGUAUGUGAAUGUGUGUGUAUGAGUGUGUCUGUGUA
This is a non-coding RNA of Cricetulus griseus (Chinese hamster), 1303 nucleotides long. The record is from RefSeq and is a predicted model, not a curated record. Lineage: Eukaryota; Metazoa; Chordata; Mammalia; Rodentia; Cricetidae.